GUGAAUCAUCGAAUUUUUGAACGCAAAUUGCACUCUCUGGUAUUCCGGAGAGUAUGCCUGUUUGAGGGUCAGUUAAAUAAAAAACGGGGUUGUUGCCACCCUUGCUGGGGAAGGCACGGAAUUUGGUCGUCUUUACCUUUCGGUUAGUGGACUUAAAAUUUUUGUGUGUUUUUUCAACGGUAUUAAAUUUAUUUGGUGUGUCUUGUCGU
RNAcentral lists this unclassified non-coding RNA (209 nucleotides) under Glomeromycetes sp. Its description in RNAcentral is "partial contains 5.8S ribosomal RNA and internal transcribed spacer 2". The stretch from base 1 to 71 matches the Rfam family "5.8S ribosomal RNA", at positions 84 to 154 of the family's 154-position model. Lineage: Eukaryota; Fungi; Glomeromycota; Glomeromycetes. The record is from RNAcentral.